RNAcentral lists this small nucleolar RNA (117 nucleotides) under Nelumbo nucifera (sacred lotus). RNAcentral describes it as "Small nucleolar RNA Z278". It matches the Rfam family "Small nucleolar RNA Z278". Rfam says of the family: snoZ278 is a C/D box small nucleolar RNA. Its methylation guide targets have not been reported. The record is from Rfam by way of RNAcentral. Lineage: Eukaryota; Viridiplantae; Streptophyta; Magnoliopsida; Proteales; Nelumbonaceae.
GCCGGUGAUGAGUUAUCCAUGUUUUUGAGGUGUAGUUGGUUCCAAGUCCCUGUUUGCAGGGAGAACCUACUUGGAGCUGCUACAUUUUUGUACGAAAUUACUGGAUAUUUCUGAGGC